UGGGGAAUUUUGGACAAUGGGCGAAAGCCUGAUCCAGCAAUGCCGCGUGUGUGAAGAAGGCCUUCGGGUUGUAAAGCACUUUUGUCCGGAAAGAAAUCCUUGGCUCUAAUACAGUCGGGGGAUGACGGUACCGGAAGAAUAAGCGCCGGCUAACUACGUGCCAGCAGCCGCGGUAAUACGUAGGGUGCAAGCGUUAAUCGGAAUUACUGGGCGUAAAGCGUGCGCAGGCGGUUUGCUAAGACCGAUGUGAAAUCCCCGGGCUCAACCUGGGAACUGCAUUGGUGACUGGCAGGCUAGAGUAUGGCAGAGGGGGGUAGAAUUCCACGUGUAGCAGUGAAAUGCGUAGAGAUGUGGAGGAAUACCGAUGGCGAAGGCAGCCCCCUGGGCCAAUACUGACGCUCAUGCACGAAAGCGUGGGGAGCAAACAGGAUUAGAUACCCUGGGUAGUCCACGCCCUAAACGAUGUCAACUAGUUGUUGGGGAUUCAUUUCCUUAGUAACGUAGCUAACGCGUGAAGUUGACCGCCUGGGGGAGUACGGUCGCAAGAUUAAAACUCAAAGGAAUUGACGGGGUCAUAGCUGUUUCCU
Molecule: ribosomal RNA, 587 nt
Filed under: uncultured bacterium
Lineage: Bacteria
Description: partial 16S ribosomal RNA
Rfam family: Bacterial small subunit ribosomal RNA
Source: RNAcentral